RNAcentral lists this ribosomal RNA (479 nucleotides) under uncultured bacterium. RNAcentral's name for it is "partial 16S ribosomal RNA". It matches the Rfam family "Bacterial small subunit ribosomal RNA", at positions 28 to 507 of the family's 1533-position model. The record is from RNAcentral.
GAUUAACGCUGGCGGCGUGCAUAACACAUGCAAGUCGAACGAUGAAACUUAAAUGAAUUCUUCGGAAUGAUUUUAAUUGGAUUAGUGGCGAACGGGUGAGUAACGCGUGAGUAACCUGCCUUACACAAGGGGAUAGCCUCUGGAAACGGAGAAUAAUACCCUAUGAAACUAUCUUAUCGCAUGAAAAGAUAGUCAAAGUGUUUUAGCGGUGUAAGAUGGACUUGCGUCUGAUUAGCUAGUUGGUGAGAUAACAGCCCACCAAGGCAACGAUCAGUAGCCGGCUUGAGAGAGGGUACGGCCACAUUGGGACUGAGACACGGCCCAGACUCCUACGGGAGGCAGCAGUGGGGAAUUUUGCACAAUGGGGGCAACCCUGAUGCAGCGACGCCGCGUGAUUUAGAAGGCCUUCGGGUUGUAAAAAUCUUUUGUAUAGGAAGAAAAUGACAGUACUAGACGAAUAAGGUCCGGCUAAUUACGUG